This 253-nucleotide ribosomal RNA is filed under the name uncultured bacterium. Its description in RNAcentral is "partial 16S ribosomal RNA". It matches the Rfam family "Bacterial small subunit ribosomal RNA", at positions 524 to 776 of the family's 1533-position model. The record is from RNAcentral.
UACGUAGGGGGCAAGCGUUGUCCGGAUUUAUUGGGCGUAAAGAGCGUGUAGGCGGCUUGGUAGGUCCGCUGUGAAAACUCGAGGCUCAACCUCGAGAUGUCGGCGGAAACCACUUGGCUAGAGUCCGGAAGAGGAGAGUGGAAUUCCUGGUGUAGCGGUGAAAUGCGCAGAUAUCAGGAGGAACACCAAUUGCGAAGGCAGCUCGCUGGGACGUUACUGACGCUGAGACGCGAAAGCGUGGGGAGCAAACAGG